Molecule: ribosomal RNA, 497 nt
Filed under: uncultured bacterium
Lineage: Bacteria
Description: partial 16S ribosomal RNA
Rfam family: Bacterial small subunit ribosomal RNA
Source: RNAcentral
GAUGAACGCUGGCGGCGUGCCUAAUACAUGCAAGUCGAGCGAACGGACGAGAAGCUUGCUUCUCUGAUGUUAGCGGCGGACGGGUGAGUAACACGUGGAUAACCUACCUAUAAGACUGGGAUAACUUCGGGAAACCGGAGCUAAUACCGGAUAAUAUUUUGAAACGCAUGGUUCAAAAUUGAAAGACGGUCUUGCUGUCACUUAUCGAUUGAUUCGCUCUGCAUUAUCUAGUUGGUAAGGUAACGGCUUAUCAAGGCAACGAUGCAUAGCCGACCUGAUAGGGUGAUCGGCCACACUGGAACUGAGACACGGUCCAGACUCCUACGGGAGGCAGCAGUAGGGAAUCUUCCGCAAUGGGCGAAAGCCUGACGGAGCAACGCCGCGUGAGUUAUGAAGGUCUUCGGAUCGUAAAACUCUGUUAUGAGGGAAGAACAUAUGUGUAAGUAACUGUGCACAUCUUGACGUUACCUAAUCAGAAAGCCACGGCUAACUACGUG